CUAUGGGACCCUGUGGGGUCUCUAUGGGUCCCUAUGGGUCUCUAUGGGUCCCUAUGUAUCUCUAUGGGGUCCCUAUGUAUCUCUAUGGGGUCUCUAUGGAGUCUCUAUGGAGUCUCUAAGGGUCUUUAUGUGUCUCUAUGUGUCCCUAUGGGGUGGUUAUGGGUCCCUAUGGGUCUCUAUGGGGACUCUAUGGGUCUCUAUGGGUCCCUAUGUAUCCCUAUGU
This 223-nucleotide long non-coding RNA is filed under the name Coturnix japonica (Japanese quail). RNAcentral describes it as "lncRNA (ENSCJPG00005002897.1)". Lineage: Eukaryota; Metazoa; Chordata; Aves; Galliformes; Phasianidae. The record is from RNAcentral.